AUGCACGUGUCCCUGCCAAGAGGCAUACACAUACAGUUUUACGUAGUAUUAGAGCUGGCCUCGCAAUCAUCCAUGACGAGCUCUUCAAGUUCCUUCCCCUCAUCUCCGUUUGCCCACGUCGCAACAGAGAAGCUCACCAAGGGGAACCAGGUGUUGUGGCUGGCCUCUGGGUCAUGUUUUGCACACUACUGUUCAAUAAAGUGUGGAGAGUUGCCUAUUUCCGCCUCUUUGACAAGUCGUAUGGAAAGACAUAUGUUUUGUGCCUGUUACUUGGGGCAGGAUAAACUGCAAGGCGACAACAACUUAAGUGCGUCACCAAAUAACUAA
This 327-nucleotide ribosomal RNA is filed under the name Triticum aestivum (bread wheat). Its description in RNAcentral is "partial small subunit ribosomal RNA". The record is from RNAcentral. Lineage: Eukaryota; Viridiplantae; Streptophyta; Magnoliopsida; Poales; Poaceae.